Non-coding RNA from Pantherophis guttatus, 2003 nucleotides. The record is from RefSeq and is a predicted model, not a curated record. NCBI's taxonomy places the organism in Eukaryota, Metazoa, Chordata, Lepidosauria, Squamata, Colubridae.
UUCUGUCUAAAUUUAUAACAUUCACGUGACAAGGAAAUACCUUUGUUCUGUUCUCCACAGGUGCCAGUUUGAGUAACGAUAUCACUAAAUACUUCUGGUUUCAUCAUUCCCAAGGCGACACAAUGACGGUUCAGGAUCCAGUCAAAAUGAAUCUCUGUGCUGCUCUUUGGACUGUUGUGUCUUAUGUGAUUGCUGAUAUGGAGGAGAAGGUACCAGUGUAAUUCAGAAAUAAAUCAAGAAAAAGUAUUGAUUGUUUUAGCACAGACUAGGAAUGUAUCUGAUCUAACUCUGUGAUGAAACUCUAGGUUUCUUCCAAAAACUAAACUUUUCUUGAUUCAACUCUGAACAUGUCCUUUUAUCAUGUAUAUGUAUUUUUGAAUUGUGGGUCUAAUACCUUCUUCUUUGGACAACUUCCUGAUGCUUAGUUUCAGUGCUUUGUUCUUGUUGUUAUUGAUCUUUACUCAGCAAUAUCAUAAAAGUCGCUGAUUAUUAAGUUACCCUUUUAUCUGCUAAAUACUUAAAAUAAAUAUGGUGUUAUGCAUGAACUCCCGAGUCUAGCCAUCUGUCAAAAUCUGCCUCCUCCCCCAGCCUCACCCCACAUUAGACACAGCAAUCUGUGGCUGUUUUUCUACUGAUAGAAAGGGGAAGCUCAGUGAAAGGGUAAAUAAAGCCAGAGUAAUCCACCAAACACCUUCCUUAAAUUGUCCCUUUGUAAAGGAUAGCACCACUAGCUGGACUCAUUACUGAGAGAAAAAGAUUCAGCAAAUGUUAUAGUGGGAUAACAUAUAUUGUUUAUUAACCUGACUCUCUGACUGUGCCCAAAGGCAAACAUUAGAGUAGUUGUACCAAGGAAACAUCUACCUGAAAGGUUCUAUCAAGAGAACCUCUGGCUCUAUUCUCCAAUAAUUGGAUCAUCUCAACAAGUAGAGAUUUAGCUCUGAGUUCUACAUCUCUUUCUCAACUAUACUCGAAAUUUAAGUGCCCCACUUUGAGCCAUGUUUUCAUGUCCAAAUAUAUUAUUUAAACUUUGUGAAAGAUGUAACUAUUUGAUCCUUGACAGAAUGUCCAUUGAACAAGCUGGCUCUUGUUCCUUGCCCUUGCAUUCCCACAUCUAAAUAAACUCUACACUGGGGUUGAAUCAUUGGCUCAGCAUCUUGUUUUCUUUUUGCUUGCCUGGAUGAUUGCCCAGCCACUAAAUGUCACAAAGGUCCCUUAACACAUGGUCCCGCCCCCCACACUGUAAGAGUGUAUAGUCAUAGUGAGAUGAACAUGUUAUUAUUUAUAUCAUUUAAAUGCUGAUGGGAUUCCAGAGAAUGAUAUUAUGUUGGCGGUCUUCGCGGUGGUGCUGUAAAUCCUGCUACCACAAUCCCUGUGUGUUUUUUGGUUCCCAUUCCUUCUGUUUUUGUUCAUUUCUUUUAAUAAAUGAAAAUACUUGGAAGGCUGGCAUGCUGUAAAACGUGGCAUCGACCGUAAAUGCAAUCCACCUUUUCAGGAAUACAACAAAGAAAAAUGCAAUUAAGUGAGGUUGGCCCUGGAGAGAAUUAACAAAGGGGUGAGGAAAGCAGGAGAUACCGCAAUAAGGAGACAUAAACAACUGCGGUGUGAAACUGACUGGAGAGAAAACUUUUCAGCAGGCAAAAAAGGAACAAGAGCUUACAUUUCUUUCAGUACGAUCACUUUGUUGAAAUAGGCAUUUUAUGCUAUCCAUUCAUAGAAAAACACCAAUUUUUUGAGUUGGCACGCUCCCUCACAGCCAGCUUUUUUGUGAAAAGUCCUACGACUUCAACUCCGAAUGAGUCACUUAUUUAAAUUGUCUCAUAUUUGAAAUGUUAUUGUCUUGUUUAUGUCAUAUGUAUAAAUAUAUGAUUAAGUUGUGCGGUUCAUCAUGAUUCAAUACAAUUUAGAAGAAUAUAAUGCACGUAAUCAUAUUGUCAUUGUUCAUUUUGUUACAAGCAUAUUUCAUUAUGUUGUAUUAUUGAUAUUACUUAAACCAAAAUUCUAGC